Podarcis lilfordi (Lilford's wall lizard) is the source of this 73-nucleotide non-coding RNA. NCBI's taxonomy places the organism in Eukaryota, Metazoa, Chordata, Lepidosauria, Squamata, Lacertidae. The record is from the annotation of a GenBank genome assembly.
GCUGGGCUGGCUCAAUCAGCAGAGCACAAGACUCUUAAUCUCAGGGUUGUGGGUUCGAGCCCCAUGCUGGGCA